UCACAGGAGUCCUUUUUACUAGGACAUUGUU
This 31-nucleotide non-coding RNA is filed under the name Mus musculus (house mouse). The record is from RNAcentral. Lineage: Eukaryota; Metazoa; Chordata; Mammalia; Rodentia; Muridae.